Molecule: long non-coding RNA, 1496 nt
Organism: Biomphalaria glabrata
Lineage: Eukaryota; Metazoa; Mollusca; Gastropoda; Planorbidae
Exons: 3
Source: RefSeq, a predicted model, not a curated record
AAAUUUGCUACAAACCCCAAAAAGUCGAAUAAUUUAUUUAUUUAUUAUUAUUUUUUAACGAUUUUUUUUUAUUUCCGAUACUUUAAAGCGAAUUGAAUUUGUAGACACUUCCUUUUCUCUCUUGAUGUUAGAAGAACACAAUGUAUUUUGCGAUUAAAGUGUGAUCGAUUUUGUUUUUUUGGACUGAUACAACAGAUCUAAAGUUUGUCAAUAGGUUCUCUGAAUCCCAGUCAAGCUUCUAUAGAGGAAUCCUGAGCGUGAGAUGACAGCGAGCCCUCAAGUUGCAUCGAAGAUGCAGACUUUAAAUUUUAUGAAAACCACUCAGGUAACUUCAAAUGAAUCUUUUGCUGAUGUAGAUGAGCAAUCAGCUCCUACCUAUGGAUAAAAGAUAUUUUUUGGAGAGAGAACACAGACAUAAAAACAAAACAACCAAAUGCUAGCUGCCUGGUCAUGUUAUGUGCUCUGGAGUGCCUUUGCGAUGGUGUGAGUUUGAACCAGCCCAUCAAUAUCCACAGUCGACCUGCUGGAAGUUUGAGCUUGAUGGGAUAAUAAUUUCUGAAACAACUUCAGAACUAAGCUCAUAAAAGAGAUUUCUUUUACACUCAAAAUCAACCAGUAAGAUCUUCUAUUGAUUAUAUAAGGGACUUUUUAACAAAUAUUCUUAUCAUGCAUGCAGGCAGAUUCAUCGGUGAUGCGAAAUCUACAUCCAACAAGUGUAAGGCAUAUACCAGGCUUUAACGGGUUGGUAUCUGGCCUCUCAAAACUCUUGCCUAUGUUGUAUAAUGAAGCUAUGGAUACUCAGUUCAUCAAAUUUAUUGUGGCCUGUGGUACACAUUUUGGAAAUUCAUAUUGCCCUAUGUCACCGCCACUGGAAUACAUACAUUGAUCAAAUCAGCAUCAAAAUAAAGUUUGGACAUAACUGAAAAUUAUUAAAACUAUGUAACUCUGGUGAGUACAUUUGAUGCUCUACAUCUAGUUAUUGUUAUCCCUUGACUUCAUGUAUGAACAGAAAUUUCAAACAAUAUCCAACACAUUCUGACAGCCGAAGCUAAUUACCAGGUUUAAAGGAGACCUCAUUAAAAGCUAUACAUUUGUUUGAAUGUAUUAAAAUAGAGUAUGAUACUGUUGUAUGUUUUUCCAAGAGAUUUAAUAUUAUAUUUCAUUAUUCUAACAAGUUUUGUGUCUAUGGUUGUCUGGUUUCUAAAAAAAUAUUUUUUUUCUAUAAAUUGUAAAAUAAUAUUUUGAAAUACAAUUUUCAUUAAUCAUUGGAAUAAUUAUUUUUUUUAUUUAGUACAUUAUAUGUAACAUUUAAAUAAUAUUAAAUUUAUCACAAUGAUGAUAUAUAUAUAUAUAAUUGAUCAUGUCCAAAUACCUUUUUAUAAAUGUUACAUAGAAGAUGAAUUUUUAAAAAUAUUUUUUUUUCUCAUUAUUUUGUACAAAAUGUAUACUUUUGCUGAUUUUAUUGUCACUAAAUAAAUAACUUUGAAUAUAAUCCA